This 481-nucleotide ribosomal RNA is filed under the name uncultured bacterium. RNAcentral's name for it is "partial 16S ribosomal RNA". It matches the Rfam family "Bacterial small subunit ribosomal RNA", at positions 28 to 507 of the family's 1533-position model. The record is from RNAcentral.
GAUGAACGCUGGCGGCGUGCCUAACACAUGCAAGUCGAACGGAGAUUACGGACGGAAGUUUUCGGAUGGAAGCCUGUAAUUCUUAGUGGCGGACGGGUGAGUAACGCGUGGGCAACCUGCCCUAUACAGGGGGAUAGCAGCUGGAAACGGCUGGUAAGACCGCAUAAGUCGGUUAAAUCGCAUGAUUUGAUCGGGAAAUGAGCAAUCAGGUAUAGGAUGGGCCCGCGUCCGAUUAGCCAGUUGGCAGGGUAAAAGCCUACCAAAGCGACGAUCGGUAGCCGGACUGAGAGGUCGGACGGCCACAUUGGGACUGAGACACGGCCCAAACUCCUACGGGAGGCAGCAGUGGGGGAUAUUGCACAAUGGAGGAAACUCUGAUGCAGCGACGCCGCGUGAGUGAAGAAGUAUUUCGGUAUGUAAAGCUCUAUCAGAAGGGAAGAUGAUGACGGUACCUGACGAAGAAGCCCCGGCUAACUACGUG